Molecule: ribosomal RNA, 465 nt
Filed under: Vreelandella stevensii
Lineage: Bacteria; Pseudomonadati; Pseudomonadota; Gammaproteobacteria; Oceanospirillales; Halomonadaceae
Description: partial 16S ribosomal RNA
Rfam family: Bacterial small subunit ribosomal RNA
Source: RNAcentral
CCUACGGGUGGCUGCAGUGGGGAAUAUUGGACAAUGGGGGCAACCCUGAUCCAGCCAUGCCGCGUGUGUGAAGAAGGCCCUCGGGUUGUAAAGCACUUUCAGUGAGGAAGAACGCCUGGUGGUUAAUACCCAUCAGGAAAGACAUCACUCACAGAAGAAGCACCGGCUAACUCCGUGCCAGCAGCCGCGGUAAUACGGAGGGUGCGAGCGUUAAUCGGAAUUACUGGGCGUAAAGCGCGCGUAGGUGGCUUGAUAAGCCGGUUGUGAAAGCCCCGGGCUCAACCUGGGAACGGCAUCCGGAACUGUCAAGCUAGAGUGCAGGAGAGGAAGGGAGAAUUCCCGGUGUAGCGGUGAAAUGCGUAGAGAUCGGGAGGAAUACCAGUGGCGAAGGCGGCCUUCUGGACUGACACUGACACUGAGGUGCGAAAGCGUGGGUAGCAAACAGGAUUAGAUACCCUAGUAGUC